This 26-nucleotide transfer RNA is filed under the name Alytes obstetricans boscai. Its description in RNAcentral is "partial tRNA-Ser". RNAcentral also lists the same sequence under 3 other names. The record is from RNAcentral. Lineage: Eukaryota; Metazoa; Chordata; Amphibia; Anura; Alytidae.
CCACAUCACCACUCUGUCAUUUUCUU